AUGGCGACUCUCUCCGCCCCCUUGCUCCGUUCCCACCACCGUCACCUCCCCAUCCGCUCCUCGCCGCGCCGCUGCCCGACCGCCGCCGCCUUCCCGCGCGGGUUCGCUCCCCUCGAACCCCUCUCUUCCCGCGCGCCCUCACGCACCGUCGUCCGCUCCGCCUCAACCUCGGCAGCGGCACCGGAGGCCGCCGAGGCAUCGGGAGGCGCGGCCCCGAGCGAGACGGCCGCGGAGGUGGAGGUGGAGGCGCGCGUCGUGCUCCCCACCAACGAGUCCUCCGAGAACCUGCUGCGCAUCCGCCACACCUGUGCCCAUGUCAUGGCGAUGGCCGUCCAGAAGCUGUUCCCCAACUCCAAAGUUACCAUAGGCCCCUGGAUAGACAAUGGCUUCUACUACGACUUCGACAUGGAGCCCCUCACGGAUAAGGACCUCAAGAAGAUCAAGAAGGAGAUGGACCGAAUCAUUCGACGGAACCUCCCAUUGGUGAGGGAGGAGGUGUCCAGGGAAGAGGCUCAAAAGAGGAUCCAAGCGCUUAACGAGCCAUAUAAGCUGGAGAUUUUGGAGAGAAUUAAGGAAGAACCCAUCACAAUUUAUCACAUUGGAGAAGAGUGGUGGGAUCUGUGUGCUGGCCCUCAUGUUGAGUCUACUGGCAAGAUACAGAGAAAAGCUGUUGAACUCGAGUCUGUUGCUGGUGCUUACUGGAGAGGUGACGAGAAUAAUCAAAUGCUACAAAGGAUAUAUGGGACUGCAUGGGAGAGUGAAGAUCAAUUGAAGGCUUACAUCCACUUCAAGGAGGAGGCCAAGCGCAGAGACCAUCGGCGACUAGGUCAGGACCUUGAUCUGUUCUCUAUACAGGAAGACGCUGGUGGGGGUUUAGUAUUCUGGCAUCCAAAAGGUGCUAUCAUCAGACACAUUUUAGAAGAUUCGUGGAAACAAACUCACCUGCAACGUGGUUAUGAUCUAUUGUACACUCCACAUGUUGCGAAGGCUGAUCUCUGGAAGAUUAGUGGACAUAUAGAUUUCUACAAAGAGAAUAUGUACAACCAAAUGGAUAAGAGAAAGCUACAAUCAUACAGGGAUUUACCCAUCAGAGUGGCAGAGCUUGGAACUGUCUACAGAUAUGAGCUCUCUGGUGCUCUGCAUGGGCUGUUCCGUGUAAGAGGGUUCACACAGGAUGAUGCCCACAUAUUUUGUCUCGAAGACCAGAUAAAAGAUGAAAUUAGAGGAGUUCUUGAUUUAACUGAAGAAAUACUGGGGCAGUUUGGCUUCCGGAAUUAUGAGGUAAACCUUUCAACCAGGCCAGAAAAAUCUGUUGGCAGUGACGACAUAUGGGAAAAGGCAACAAUUGCUCUGAAAGACGCACUAGAUGAUAAAGGAUGGGGAUACACGGUUGAUGAAGGGGGAGGUGCUUUCUAUGGUCCAAAAAUUGAUUUGAAAAUUGAGGACGCUCUUGGAAGAAAAUGGCAAUGUUCCACUGUGCAGGUUGACUUCAAUUUGCCUGAACGGUUUGACAUCACUUAUGUUGACUCGCAUACUGAGAAGAAACGGCCUAUCAUGAUUCAUAGAGCCAUCCUUGGGUCUUUGGAGCGCUUUUUUGGCAUCCUCAUUGAAAACUACGCUGGUGAUUUUCCACUUUGGCUUGCUCCAACCCAAGCCCGUAUUCUACCUGUCACAAACAAUGAGCUGCAGUACUGCAAUGAGGUGGCUUCAGAACUGAAAUCAAGAGGUAUCCGCGCCGAGGUAUGCCACGGCAAGCGUCUGCCGAAGUUAAUCAGAAACGCCGAAACACAAAAGGUGCCGCUCAUGGCGGUCGUUGGCCCCAAGGAAGUCGAAGCUAGGACUCUCACCAUCAGGUCCAGGCAUAACGGGGAGAUGGGCACCAUGCUCGUCGACGAUUUCAUCAGCAAAAUCCAAUCGGCCGUUGCUGACAAAUCUUCGCUGUAG
Molecule: ribosomal RNA, 1944 nt
Filed under: Triticum aestivum (bread wheat)
Lineage: Eukaryota; Viridiplantae; Streptophyta; Magnoliopsida; Poales; Poaceae
Description: partial small subunit ribosomal RNA
Source: RNAcentral